RNAcentral lists this ribosomal RNA (250 nucleotides) under uncultured bacterium. RNAcentral describes it as "partial 16S ribosomal RNA". It matches the Rfam family "Bacterial small subunit ribosomal RNA", at positions 524 to 773 of the family's 1533-position model. The record is from RNAcentral.
GACGAACCGUGCGAACGUUGUUCGGAAUCACUGGGCUUAAAGGGCGCGUAGGCGGGCGAGCAAGUCGAAGGUGAAAUCCCACGGCUCAACCGUGGAAGUGCCCCCGAUACUGCUCGUCUGGAGGGAGAUAGGGGCGUGCGGAACUUCCGGUGGAGCGGUGAAAUGCGUAGAUAUCGGAAGGAACACCGGUGGCGAAAGCGGCACGCUGGAUCUCUUCUGACGCUGAGGCGCGAAAGCCAGGGGAGCAAAC